RNAcentral lists this long non-coding RNA (1811 nucleotides) under Lupinus angustifolius (narrow-leaved blue lupine). RNAcentral's name for it is "long non-coding RNA (LANG_LNC003412)". The record is from RNAcentral. Lineage: Eukaryota; Viridiplantae; Streptophyta; Magnoliopsida; Fabales; Fabaceae.
UAUAAUGUCACCAAAGCCAGUGAGUUAUCCUUCAUAUAUGGCAUUAUAAUCUCCUUUAGUUUGAGCCAUUUGGAUGUCUUAGAGUAGGACAUAGUUCAACUGUAAUACAUGUGUAGAUUUAAAUAAACCAAUCAAUGUUACUGUGAUGUCCAAUCUAAAUUAAAGUGUUCAUAAGCUGUUGAAGAUCAAUGGUUAAAAUCAAGAAUCUAUCUGAGAAGGCCGAGUGCAAACCGCAAAAUAAUACUAACACAUGUGAGGGAUAAUAUAUAUACAUAUCUUAAUAUAUAGUUGGGCUGCAUUGGAAGACAAAAGCUGUUUCUGAAAUAAUCUGAGUCGCUUGGUAGAUGGAUUAAAAAUGUGAGCCUGGUGAGAAGCUGAUUCCCAUACCAGACAUUACUCCCUGGAGAACUACCUCAUAACUUCAUGAUUUAAUAUUAAUUGUUGUAGACAUAAGCUUAUCAUGUUCAGAAUCAUUAACUUAAAAUUAACCAUUUAUGGAAAUAUUGUGCAUGCCAUAGAAAAUGGAACUUGUUGGUAUCAUAAGAGUUUAUUAGCCAAUAAGAAUGGUUAAAAAUGUAAUGAUAAUUAGUACUAAAAAAGAGAGCAAUAUCUAUGCCGUAAAGAUUCAUACACAAUCAUUGCAUUAUCCACCAUUCAUGUCAAUGAUGAUUGAAAAAAUGACAGUGUAAUACAUAGAUAUUUUUCUCUUCCAAAAAUCUUAGACUUAUGAGAAAUGCACUAAAAUGAAUGUGAAGUUAUGUAUUGAGAAUCAUGUACCUUCAUGUGGCAUGAAAGGUAAUUAUGACGGAGAUAGUAGAAAGAGUAUUCAACGAGGGAAGGAGAAACACAACACACCCCGCGAGGGGAGAGUGGGGCCAAUAAAAAAAAGAAAGUGGCCGCCGAAAACUCUCCCCUCGCAACAACAAACUAAUAAUUUUAUUGAUUUUCUUUUGACCUGCCAAGCAAGCGCACCGGACAUGGCAAAGGUCUAGUAGUAACAAAAUAUAACAAUCAACGUAACAAGUACCUUACGAGUCUACGACUGUAUCAGUAUGCAUAACACGAGGUCUCUCUCACAGACAUAACUUCACACUGUAUAAGAUAAUAAUCUCCUAAAGGAUCGUACCGAUACAAUCGAAAUUAUACAAUCAAUCUCGCGUUAUUUGAACAAUUCCUUCACUAGGUGAAACCAAUUUCUCUGUUCUCGAACUAGAAGCAGAACUACUCAUCCAGAUCCAAUGUAAAAAUACAAAAUCCAUGUCGGUUAACGACGCAAUCAAGACCUGUAAAAAUUCGACAUAUUCAGAUCCAAUAAUAAGACAAGAAAUAAGAACCGGACUCGAAAAUUCGCAGAUCCAAAACUCACCUUAUCAAAAUCAAAACCAGAUCGAAGUAUUCCUCGCCUACGUCAAAUAAAUUUCUUCAUCCCUGAACGAGAACGAUUCCGUGAAAUCGAGAGCGAGAAUUCGAGCGGAUCUUGCAAAGAAUCAUCGCUUAAAACGUGAUCAAGGUUCAAUUCGCGGUGAUUUGACCGAGUCAGAUGGCGCCUAAUAGGGUUUCCCGCGAUGAGGGGGAUAUGAGGGGUUAUGGUGAUUUAUAUAGUGGAGUUUGAUGAAAAAGGUUUAACUCGCUCAUAAUACACCGUUGGUAUAGACGGUGAUAGGAAAUCGCAUCAGUUCAUUUUAAUCAAAUAAAACACUGAAUGGGUAGGUAAUGUAUUUGCGGUCACAAAGAAAGGAAGGUUCUCGAUAAACUAUAUAUUUUUGCCUCACACCGUGAGACGUGUUUCGCGUGUCGUUCUUUGAGGCCAG